AUGCACGACUCGUUCGGCACCGCAGCCGCUCCAUCCCUUCGCCCACGCCGCUUCAUCCCUUCGCCGCCGCCCUCCACUUCAGGAGACGCAGCCGAUCCCGUUGAGGAUCCGCCGCCCUCGCACGUCAGAGCCGCCGCCCUCGCACGUCAGAGCCGGCGACGGUCCCCUUCAGGAGGACGCCGAUCCCCCAGAUCCGGCGCUGCUCCCGUUGAGGGCCUGUCGCCGAUCGCAUCCAGGUUCCCCCGACGAGAUCAUUGCGGAUAUAGGAGACAUAGAUAUGGAUUUUGGAGACGUUCAAAAAGAUUCCAUCAACAAGGGUUCUGA
RNAcentral lists this ribosomal RNA (324 nucleotides) under Triticum aestivum (bread wheat). Its description in RNAcentral is "partial small subunit ribosomal RNA". The record is from RNAcentral. Lineage: Eukaryota; Viridiplantae; Streptophyta; Magnoliopsida; Poales; Poaceae.